RNAcentral lists this ribosomal RNA (500 nucleotides) under uncultured Actinomycetes bacterium. RNAcentral describes it as "bacterial SSU rRNA". It matches the Rfam family "Bacterial small subunit ribosomal RNA", at positions 8 to 522 of the family's 1533-position model. The record is from RNAcentral. Lineage: Bacteria; Bacillati; Actinomycetota; Actinomycetes.
AGAGUUUGAUCCUGGCUCAGGACGAACGCUGGCGGCGUGCUUAACACAUGCAAGUCGAGCGGAAAGGCCACUUCGGUGGUACUCGAGCGGCGAACGGGUGAGUAACACGUGAGUAAUCUGCCCUUCACUUCGGGAUAGCCCUGGGAAACUGGGAUUAAUACCGGAUACGACCGGCGCCUGCAUGGGUUGUUGGUGGAAAGUUUUUUCGGUGGAGGAUGUGCUCGCGGCCUAUCAGCUUGUUGGUGGGGUAAUGGCCUACCAAGGCUUCGACGGGUAGCCGGCCUGAGAGGGUGACCGGCCACACUGGGACUGAGACACGGCCCAGACUCCUACGGGAGGCAGCAGUGGGGAAUAUUGGACAAUGGGCGGAAGCCUGAUCCAGCAACGCCGCGUGAGGGAUGACGGCCUUCGGGUUGUAAACCUCUUUCAGCGGGGGCGAAGCGCAAGUGACGGUACCCGCAGAAGAAGCACCGGCCAACUACGUGCCAGCAGCCGCGGUA